Long non-coding RNA from Macrobrachium nipponense, 923 nucleotides. RefSeq lists it as uncharacterized. Lineage: Eukaryota; Metazoa; Arthropoda; Malacostraca; Decapoda; Palaemonidae. The transcript is spliced from 2 exons. The record is from RefSeq and is a predicted model, not a curated record.
AAAUUGGUAGCGCUGCGCGCUGCAGCUGCUGCUUAGGUCAGUAGUUUCUUGGGUCAUUGCGGUGUAGUGAUGAUAUGUUUGGUUUUAUGCUAGAGCUAAGUGGUGUAGUGAAUAUGUAUUUUAUAAUAGCGCCGAAGAAUCCUGGUAAGGAAAGUUCUACAUCGCUGAUACCCACCAACCUGCAAGAUGCCUGAAAUUCAGCAAAUGAGCAUCCGGAGAAGAACGGGUCUGCUAACUCGCAUGCCUGACUUUCUUUCUGAGUGGAUAGCUGAAUGAGUUCAAGUGAGCCCCCAAAACUUCUUCCGGGGCUCAGGCCAAGUCAAUGUUCUUCAACCUGUAAGUCACUGGCCCGGACAUUUAUCUACUAAGGUUACAGUGGUUACAGUGUUGCCAACUAAAAUACAGCCUUUUGCCCAAGAAGUUCCUGCAACUGGGGAAAAAAGUCCUUACAUCUCGUAACUUGCCUUCAUAUUUAUUAAAUUAGUUUUUUUCUAAUUUACUACUAACAAAGAUAUCAUAGUUACUAUAUAUUACUAUACCAUACAUUCUGCUGAACUUGAGUUGGUGUAUAAAGGUAGAAAAAGAAACAAGAAUAUCAGUUUAUACAGGAAUUAUGUUAUGUUUAUAAUUUUGUAUAAGAUGAAAUGAUCUUAAUGUGUUUAUAGAAAUAUCUUUUGACAGAAUGCUGUAGAAAGUAAUUAUGAAAUAAGAAAAAUUAUUGCUAAAUUACCUUCCUUAUGGUAAAAAAGCUAGGCAUUUUUUUGAGUAACUGAACAUAGGUUAACAAAAUAUAUUUACUUUUGGUAGUCUUACAUACUUUGAUUAUGAUCUGACAAGUUAGUUUCAUUAGCUGACGAAACAAAAUCGAUGCAGGUUUCAUUUUUAGUUUUAAGAUUACAGUUAAUAAACAAUAAUGAAUAUAA